This 468-nucleotide ribosomal RNA is filed under the name uncultured bacterium. RNAcentral describes it as "partial 16S ribosomal RNA". It matches the Rfam family "Bacterial small subunit ribosomal RNA", at positions 28 to 507 of the family's 1533-position model. The record is from RNAcentral.
GACGAACGCUGGCGGCGUGCUUAACACAUGCAAGUCGAACGGAAAGGCCCUGCUUUUGUGGGGUGCUCGAGUGGCGAACGGGUAAGUAACACGUGAGUAACCUGCCCUUGACUUUGGGAUAACUUCAGGAAACUGGGGCUAAUCCCGGAUCGGAGCUCCUGCUGCAUGGUGGGGGUUGGAAAGUUUCGGCGGUUGGGGAUGGACUCGCGGCUUAUCAGCUUGUUGGUGGGGUAGUGGCUUACCAAGGCUUUGACGGGUAGCCGGCCUGAGAGGGUGACCGGCCACAUUGGGACUGAGAUACGGCCCAGACUCCUACGGGAGGCAGCAGUGGGGAAUAUUGCACAAUGGGCGGAAGCCUGAUGCAGCAACGCCGCGUGCGGGAUGACGGCCUUCGGGUUGUAAACCGCUUUCGCCUGUGACGAAGCGUGAGUGACGGUAAUGGGUAAAGAAGCACCGGCUAACUACGUG